GGCGGCGGGCGUUCUAGUGGUAGAACGCCCGCCUCGGUUGCGGGAGGCUGUGGGUUCGAUUCCCACCGCCGCCG
Non-coding RNA from Dermacentor silvarum, 74 nucleotides. The record is from the annotation of a RefSeq genome assembly. Lineage: Eukaryota; Metazoa; Arthropoda; Arachnida; Ixodida; Ixodidae.